Molecule: transfer RNA, 83 nt
Filed under: Salinivirgaceae bacterium
Lineage: Bacteria; Pseudomonadati; Bacteroidota; Bacteroidia; Bacteroidales; Salinivirgaceae
Also listed under: 1 other name
Description: tRNA-Tyr
Rfam family: tRNA
About the family: Transfer RNA (tRNA) molecules are approximately 80 nucleotides in length. Their secondary structure includes four short double-helical elements and three loops (D, anti-codon, and T loops).
Source: RNAcentral
GGGAAGAUACCAAAGCGGCCAACUGGGGCAGACUGUAAAUCUGCUGGCUUACGCCUUCGUAGGUUCGAAUCCUGCUCUUCCCA